RNAcentral lists this transfer RNA (72 nucleotides) under Methylobacterium sp. UNC300MFChir4.1. Its description in RNAcentral is "tRNA_Arg_TCT". The stretch from base 9 to 69 matches the Rfam family "tRNA". Rfam says of the family: Transfer RNA (tRNA) molecules are approximately 80 nucleotides in length. Lineage: Bacteria; Pseudomonadati; Pseudomonadota; Alphaproteobacteria; Hyphomicrobiales; Methylobacteriaceae. The record is from RNAcentral.
GUCCUAGGGUCCGCGUAGAACAGCCGCCUUCUAAGCAGCAGGUCGUAGGUUCGAGCCCUACCGGGGUCGCCA